This 498-nucleotide ribosomal RNA is filed under the name uncultured bacterium. RNAcentral's name for it is "partial 16S ribosomal RNA". It matches the Rfam family "Bacterial small subunit ribosomal RNA", at positions 30 to 523 of the family's 1533-position model. The record is from RNAcentral.
AUUGAACGCUGGCGGCAUGCCUUACACAUGCAAGUCGAACGGUAACAGGUCUUCGGAUGCUGACGAGUGGCGAACGGGUGAGUAAUACAUCGGAACGUGCCUAGUAGUGGGGGAUAACUACUCGAAAGAGUGGCUAAUACCGCAUGAGAUCUACGGAUGAAAGCGGGGGAUCGCAAGACCUUGUGCUACUAGAGCGGCCGAUGGCAGAUUAGGUAGUUGGUGGGAUAAAAGCUUACCAAACCGACGAUCUGCAGCUGGUCUGAGAGGACGAUCAGCCAAACUGGGACUGAGACACGGCCCAGACUCCUACGGGAGGAAGCAGUGGGGAAUUUUGGACAAUGGGCGAAAGCCUGAUCCAGCAAUGCCGCGUGCAGGAUGAAGGCCUUCGGGUUGUAAACUGCUUUUGUACGGAACGAAAAGCCCCGGGUUAAUACCCUGGGGUCAUGACGGUACCGUAAGAAUAAGCACCGGCUAACUACGUGCCAGCCGCCGCAGUAA